This 547-nucleotide ribosomal RNA is filed under the name uncultured bacterium. Its description in RNAcentral is "bacterial SSU rRNA". It matches the Rfam family "Bacterial small subunit ribosomal RNA", at positions 355 to 894 of the family's 1533-position model. The record is from RNAcentral.
UAGGGAAUAUUGGACAAUGGGGGCAACCCUGAUCCAGCGACGCCGCGUGUGUGAAGAAGGCCUGCGGGUUGUAAAGCACUUUUAGUGGGGAGAAAAAGCCACGGACUAAUACUCUGUGGUCUUGAUUUAACCCAAAGAAAAAGCACCGGCUAACUCUGUGCCAGCAGCCGCGGUAAUACAGAGGGUGCGAGCGUUAAUCGGAAUUACUGGGCGUAAAGCGUGCGUAGACGGUCUUGUAAGUCGGAUGUGAAAUCCCCGGGCUUAACCUGGGAAUUGCAUUCGAAACUGCAAGGCUUGGGUGCGGAAGAGGGAAGCGGAAUUUCCGGUGUAGCGGUGAAAUGCGUAGAUAUCGGAAGGAACAUCAGUGGCGAAGGCGGCUUCCUGGUCCAGCACCGACGUUCAGGCACGAAAGCGUGGGGAGCAAACAGGAUUAGAUACCCUGGUAGUCCACGCCAUAAACGAUGAGAACUAGACGUUGAGAGGGUAAGCCUCCCAGUGUCGUAGCUAACGCGCUAAGUUCUCCGCCUGGGGAGUACGGCCGCAAGGU